This 495-nucleotide ribosomal RNA is filed under the name uncultured bacterium. Its description in RNAcentral is "partial 16S ribosomal RNA". It matches the Rfam family "Bacterial small subunit ribosomal RNA", at positions 30 to 523 of the family's 1533-position model. The record is from RNAcentral.
AUUGAACGCUGGCGGAAUGCUUUACACAUGCAAGUCGAACGGUAGAGGGGGCAACCCCUCGAGAGUGGCGAACGGGUGAGUAAUAUAUCGGAACGUGCCCAGUCGUGGGGGAUAACGUAGCGAAAGUUACGCUAAUACCGCAUACGAUCUAAGGAUGAAAGCGGGGGAUCGCAAGACCUCGCGCGAUUGGAGCGGCCGAUAUCGGAUUAGGUAGUUGGUGGGGUAAAGGCUCACCAAGCCAACGAUCUGUAGCUGGUCUGAGAGGACGACCAGCCACACUGGAACUGAGACGCGGCCCAGACUCCUACGGGAGGCAGCAGUGGGGAAUUUUGGACAAUGGGCGCAAGCCUGAUCCAGCCAUGCCGCGUGAGUGAAGAAGGCCUUCGGGUUGUAAAGCUCUUUUGUCUGGGAGCAAACCUUGGUGGUUAAUACCUGCCAAGCUGAGAGUACCGGAAGAAUAGGCACCGGCUAACUACGUGCCAGCCGCCGCAGUAA